AACCUUUCUCGGCCUUUUGGCUAAGAUCAAGUGUAGUAUCUGUUCUUAUCAGUUUAAUAUCUGAUAUGUGAGACAAUGUCUCACAAUGAUGUUAAAUUUAUUUUUCUUGGGGAGAAGUCUAUUAUGGUAGCUUGCUACUAGGGCUUCAAGUGUCGCUCUAGCGUUGCACUAUUGCUUGAGCCUGGCACACCCCUA
This 195-nucleotide small nuclear RNA is filed under the name Sorghum bicolor (sorghum). RNAcentral describes it as "snRNA U2". It matches the Rfam family "U2 spliceosomal RNA". From Rfam's summary of the family: U2 is a small nuclear RNA (snRNA) component of the spliceosome (involved in pre-mRNA splicing). The record is from Rfam by way of RNAcentral. Lineage: Eukaryota; Viridiplantae; Streptophyta; Magnoliopsida; Poales; Poaceae.